AUGAACGCUGGCGGCAUGCUUUACACAUGCAAGUCGAACGGUAACAGGUCUUCGGAUGCUGACGAGUGGCGAACGGGUGAGUAAUACAUCGGAACGUGCCUAGUAGUGGGGGAUAACUACUCGAAAGAGUAGCUAAUACCGCAUGAGAUCUACGGAUGAAAGCAGGGGACCUUCGGGCCUUGUGCUACUAGAGCGGCUGAUGGCAGAUUAGGUAGUUGGUGGGGUAAAGGCUUACCAAGCCUGCGAUCUGUAGCUGGUCUGAGAGGACGACCAGCCACACUGGGACUGAGACACGGCCCAGACUCCUACGGGAGGCAGCAGUGGGGAAUUUUGGACAAUGGGCGAAAGCCUGAUCCAGCAAUGCCGCGUGCAGGAUGAAGGCCUUCGGGUUGUAAACUGCUUUUGUACGGAACGAAAAGCCUGGGGCUAAUAUCCCCGGGUCAUGACGGUACCGUAAGAAUAAGCACAGGCUAACUACGU
This 480-nucleotide ribosomal RNA is filed under the name Comamonas testosteroni. RNAcentral's name for it is "bacterial SSU rRNA". It matches the Rfam family "Bacterial small subunit ribosomal RNA", at positions 29 to 506 of the family's 1533-position model. The record is from RNAcentral. Lineage: Bacteria; Pseudomonadati; Pseudomonadota; Betaproteobacteria; Burkholderiales; Comamonadaceae.